CCACCAGGAGUGGAGCCUGCGGCUUAAUUUGACUCAACACGGGAAAUCUCACCAGGCCCGGACACCGGAAGGAUUGACAGAUUAACAGCUCUUUCUUGAUUCGGUGGGUGGUGGUGCAUGGCCGUUCUUAGUUGGUGGAGCGAUUUGUCUGGUUAAUUCCGGUAACGAACGAGACUCUAGCCUGCUAAAUAGGCGUCGUCAUUUAGGUGUGCGUGGCUCCGUCACGCAACUCACUGGCGACGUAUUAAAAUUCUUCUUAGAGGGACCGGCGGCUUCGAGCCGCACGAGAUUGAGCAAUAACAGGUCUGUGAUGCCCUUAGAUGUCCUGGGCCGCACGCGCGCUACACUGAAGGAAUCAGCAUGUUCUCCCUGGCCUAGAGGCCCGGGCAACCCGCUGAAACUCCUUCGUGCUGGGGAUUGGGGUUUGCAAUUAUCCCCCAUAAACGAGGAAUUCCUAGUAAGCGCGAGUCAUAAGCUCGCGUUGAUUACGUCCCUGCCCUUUGUACACACCGCCCGUCGCUACUACCGAUUGAAUGAUUUAGUGAGGUCUUCGGACCGACACGCGGUGGCUUCGCGGCCGUCGGCGUUGCUGGGAAGUUGACCAAACUUGAUCAUUUAGAGGAAGUAAAAGUCGUAACAAGGUUUCCGUAGGU
This 653-nucleotide ribosomal RNA is filed under the name Callopistria exotica. RNAcentral's name for it is "SSU rRNA". It matches the Rfam family "Eukaryotic small subunit ribosomal RNA", at positions 1167 to 1810 of the family's 1831-position model. The record is from RNAcentral. Lineage: Eukaryota; Metazoa; Arthropoda; Insecta; Lepidoptera; Noctuidae.